Cyprinus carpio (common carp) is the source of this 919-nucleotide long non-coding RNA. RefSeq lists it as uncharacterized. The record is from RefSeq and is a predicted model, not a curated record. NCBI's taxonomy places the organism in Eukaryota, Metazoa, Chordata, Actinopteri, Cypriniformes, Cyprinidae.
ACCACACUUCUCUUGCGGUAUGUUUUGGGCUGUAAGUUUAGUAGCGGGCCGGCGUUGCUGCGGUAAUUAGUAGUAGUUUGCAUUCGCAAAAGAAUGCACGUUUGAGAAUCUCAUGGAACCGCAAUUCAAGAAAUUUCUAAUGAGGACGAACCGAAGGACCUUUGAGGACUCCAACAGACCAGUUUGUGGAAAGUUAAUGAAGGUCUAGCUGACAGAGCACUGGACCCUGGAGAGAUGGCACUGUGAAUACAAGGUUUUUCAUCUCUGUUUCGGAUGAGAGGGACAGCUCUGUUGGAAUGGCAGAUCCAGAGAAACAUCUCCCGUACCAAAAGAAGAGCUUUAAAGUCCAACUGUGGCUUCAUCACCCUGUCAAAUCACUUCAAAUGUGCAGUUUGGUGUCUUGCAGUUCAGCUGCCAGCCGCUGGCAUUUCUUCUUUAGCUGCUGGACUGAACGCUGGGACUCCUCGUGGUCAGCCUGCAAGUCCCCUAACUACACAGAGAAAGAGACGGGAAGAAUCAUCGCCAUCAUUUUCCACCUCGCCAUUGAAUUCUGAUGCUUGGAGGAGUCUGGCCUCCAUGAUCUCCAUCUCCAUGGACUCCAUCUGUUUCUGUACAGCGUCAAACUUCCCCUGAGUUUCAGAAAAAGAAAAGAACAGGCAAGAUCUGGCCAGACGACAAUGUUGCAAUUCUGAAGCAAAUGCUUUGAGCUGGGAUUGAGAUGUGAUGACAGCAGGAAUCAAAGAGAAGUCUCAGCUCUAACGCUGAUGCAACAAAAGCCCUCAGAUCAUGUCAUCUUUAAGGCAAACGCGUCCACACACACAGAUAAACCUUCGAGCUCUACUGUAAACUGACAGAAGCUUUGUAUAGCGAGCACACCAGGGAAUGAAAUAAAGAGUAAGAUGGAAAGUCUCACAUCUUU